UUUCGAUUAAGUCAUGCGGGUCAGAACGUAAGUUCGGCGAACGGCUCAGUAACACAUGGGUAACCUGCCCUAUGGUCUGGAAUAACCUCGGGAAACUGAGGGUAAGACCGGAUAUAGUAAUUCUACUGGAAUGUGUUUUACUUGAAAGGUAACGCCAUAGGAUGGGCCUGUGUUAGAUUAGGUUGUUGGUGAGGUAAUGGCUCACCAAGCCUGUGAUCUAUAAGGGCAAUGAAAGUUGGAGCCCUGAGAAGAGGACUGAGACAAGGCCUCUAGCCCUACGGGGCGCAGCAGACGCGAAACCUCUACAAUGAACGAAAGUUUGAUAGGGGAACUCCGAGUGCUCUUAGGAAACUAAGGGCUUUUAUUAAGUGUAUAUAGCUUGAUGAAUAAGGACUGGGUAAGACCCGUGCCAGCCGCCGCGGUAAUACGGGCAGUUCUAGUGGUAUCCACGUAUAUUGGGCUUAAAGCGUCCGUAGCUGGUCCAGAAAGUUUCUAGUGAAAGCUCGCAGCUUAACUGAUGAGAGGUGCUAGAAAAACUUUUGGACUUGGAGGCGGGAGAGGUAAGAGGUACUUUUGGGGUAGCGGUUAAAUGUGUUAAUCCUGAAGGGACCACCGGUAGCGAAGGCGUCUUACUAGAACGCACUCGACAGUGAGGGACGAAGGCUAGGGGAGCAACCCGGAUUAGAUACCUGGUUAGUCCUAGCAGUAAAUGAUGCAGACUAGGUGUCCUGUAACCUACGUGGUUAUGGGGUGCCGAAGGGAAACCGUUAAGUCUGCCGCCUGGGGAGUACGGUCGCAAGACUGAAACUUAAAGGAAUUGGCGGGAGAGCACCACAAGGGGUGGAGGCUGCGGUUUAAUUGGAUUCAACGCCGG
This 874-nucleotide ribosomal RNA is filed under the name unidentified euryarchaeote. RNAcentral describes it as "bacterial SSU rRNA". It matches the Rfam family "Archaeal small subunit ribosomal RNA", at positions 38 to 921 of the family's 1478-position model. The record is from RNAcentral. Lineage: Archaea; Methanobacteriati; Methanobacteriota.